UGGGGAAUAUUGCACAAUGGGGGAAACCCUGAUGCAGCGACGUCGCGUGAGCGAAGAAGGCCUUCGGGUCGUAAAGCUCUGUCCUAUGGGAAGAAAAGGACGGUACCAUAGAAGGAAGCCCCGGCUAACUACGUGCCAGCAGCCGCGGUAAUACGUAGGGGGCGAACGUUAUCCGGAAUGAUUGGGCGUAAAGGGUACGUAGGCGGCACUUUAAGUCAGGUGUGAAAGGCAUGGGCUCAACCCAUGUAAGCACUUGAAACUGGAGCGCUUGAGGGAAGGAGAGGAAAGUGGAAUUCCUAGUGUAGCGGUGAAAUGCGUAGAUAUUAGGAGGAAUACCGGUGGCGAAGGCGACUUUCUGGACUUUUUCUGACGCUGAGGUACGAAAGCGUGGGGAGCAAACAGG
This 403-nucleotide ribosomal RNA is filed under the name Bacteroidota bacterium. RNAcentral's name for it is "Bacteroidetes bacterium partial 16S ribosomal RNA". It matches the Rfam family "Bacterial small subunit ribosomal RNA", at positions 355 to 776 of the family's 1533-position model. The record is from RNAcentral. Lineage: Bacteria; Pseudomonadati; Bacteroidota.